RNAcentral lists this ribosomal RNA (730 nucleotides) under uncultured Psychrobacter sp. Its description in RNAcentral is "bacterial SSU rRNA". It matches the Rfam family "Bacterial small subunit ribosomal RNA", at positions 58 to 777 of the family's 1533-position model. Lineage: Bacteria; Pseudomonadati; Pseudomonadota; Gammaproteobacteria; Moraxellales; Moraxellaceae. The record is from RNAcentral.
CAAGUCGAGCGGAAACGAUGAUAGCUUGCUAUCAGGCGUCGAGCGGCGGACGGGUGAGUAAUACUUAGGAAUCUACCUAGUAGUGGGGGAUAGCUCGGGGAAACUCGAAUUAAUACCGCAUACGUCCUACGGGAGAAAGCAGGGGAUCUUUGGACCUUGCGCUAUUAGAUGAGCCUAAGUCGGAUUAGCUAGAUGGUGGGGUAAAGGCCUACCAUGGCGACGAUCUGUAGCUGGUCUGAGAGGAUGAUCAGCCACACCGGGACUGAGACACGGCCCGGACUCCUACGGGAGGCAGCAGUGGGGAAUAUUGGACAAUGGGGGGAACCCUGAUCCAGCCAUGCCGCGUGUGUGAAGAAGGCCUUUUGGUUGUAAAGCACUUUAAGCAGUGAAGAAGACUCUUCGGUUAAUACCCGGGGACGAUGACAUUAGCUGCAGAAUAAGCACCGGCUAACUCUGUGCCAGCAGCCGCGGUAAUACAGAGGGUGCAAGCGUUAAUCGGAAUUACUGGGCGUAAAGCGAGCGUAGGUGGCUUGAUAAGUCAGAUGUGAAAUCCCCGGGCUUAACCUGGGAACUGCAUCUGAAACUGUUAGGCUAGAGUAGGUGAGAGGGAAGUAGAAUUUCAGGUGUAGCGGUGAAAUGCGUAGAGAUCUGAAGGAAUACCGAUGGCGAAGGCAGCUUCCUGGCAUCAUACUGACACUGAGGCUCGAAAGCGUGGGGUAGCAAAACAGGA